UACGAAGGGGGCGAGCGUUGUUCGGAAUUACUGGGCGUAAAGGGCGCGUAGGCGGCCGAUCAAGUCAGAUGUGAAAGUCCUGGGCUUAACCUGGGGACUGCAUUUGAUACUGAUUGGCUUGAAUUCGGGAGAGGAUAGCGGAAUUCCCAGUGUAGAGGUGAAAUUCGUAGAUAUUCGCAAGAACACCAGUGGCGAAGGCGGCUCACUGGCCCGAUACUGACGCUGAGGUGCGAAAGCGUGGGGAGCAAACAGG
This 253-nucleotide ribosomal RNA is filed under the name uncultured bacterium. RNAcentral describes it as "partial 16S ribosomal RNA". It matches the Rfam family "Bacterial small subunit ribosomal RNA", at positions 524 to 776 of the family's 1533-position model. The record is from RNAcentral.